GAUGAACGCUGGCGGCGUGCCUAAUACAUGCAAGUCGAGCGAACAGACGAGGAGCUUGCUCCUCUGACGUUAGCGGCGGACGGGUGAGUAACACGUGGAUAACCUACCUAUAAGACUGGGAUAACUUCGGGAAACCGGAGCUAAUACCGGAUAAUAUAUUGAACCGCAUGGUUCAAUAGUGAAAGACGGUUUUGCUGUCACUUAUAGAUGGAUCCGCGCCGCAUUAGCUAGUUGGUAAGGUAACGGCUUACCAAGGCAACGAUGCGUAGCCGACCUGAGAGGGUGAUCGGCCACACGGGAACUGAGACACGGUCCAGACUCCUACGGGAGGCAGCAGUAGGGAAUCUGCCGCAGUGGGCGAAAGCCUGACGGAGUAACGCCGCGUGAGUGAUGAAGGUCUUCGGAUCGUAAAACUCUGUUAUUAGGGAAGAACAAAUGUGUAAGUAACUAUGCACGUCUUGACGGUACCUAAUCAGAAAGCCACGGCUAACUACGUG
Molecule: ribosomal RNA, 497 nt
Filed under: uncultured bacterium
Lineage: Bacteria
Description: partial 16S ribosomal RNA
Rfam family: Bacterial small subunit ribosomal RNA
Source: RNAcentral